AUGGAACUACAGCCAGUCUGUUCCCUUCAGUAUAUAUAUCGUUUUUUUAUUUUUUAUUUGUAUUCCCGGUGACAGUUUUAAGGAGGUAAUCUUUACCCUCUGGCAGAUUGCAUUUUAUAUAGCUUCCCCUACGCUGUCACCACGUAAUUAUUCUUCAGUCUGUGUUGUGCAGAUAAUAGAGAGCAGAUCAGAGACUAGCAGAAACACACAGACAGACUGACAGAGAUAAGAGGUAGAGAGAGGGAGAGGCCCUCAGGGCAGGUGGCUGUUGGGGGUUCAAGAUCUGACUUGAGAUGGCAUCAUCAAAAGAAAAACAAACAACCAUAAUUUUAUUUCACCAUUAAGCAUACAGUUGAGUAAAGGGAAAAACGACAGGAAGAUGAAACGCAUGCAUCAUUAAUAGUUGAUUCAUUCAAAGCAGAGUUAGAUGAGGGUGUGGGGGAAGGAGGCAGGGCCUGAUGGGUCAGACCACCAGUUCAAGACAAGCUGGAUAUCUGUGAGGAGUGUGUGACGUGUCCCUGUCUAGAUGCUUCUCUCACGGCCUUUUUAUAUUGUUAUAAAUCAUACAUUAUAUGCAAUGGAAGUGAUAGAAUAUAUGUAUGUCAUGCUGUUAAAUGUCCCACCCUCUUUCCUGCUGUUCAUCAAGAGUUAAAAAAAAAAGCCUUACACAUCCACUUUCCAAAUCAAUUAUACAUAUUUUUUUGAAAUAGUACACAGGCUGUCAGACCAAUCAACUGUGGACUAGUACAGACCGGCGCAGGACAGCACACAGGUACUGCUCGCCAAGUGGUUGUCUUGUACUCCGCAUGUGUCCUUGUUACCGCGAAGGGAAUUCUUCCUCCUAUCUAACUUUGUUUAUCUUUGCAUGCAGAUGAUGCAACCUCCUCUGAUAGCAAUACAGAGUACAGAUCAGAUGAAAAAGCCCCCUUCCAUGUAUUCUGAAUGAACCAAGGAGUGGUUUAUUCCCUCAAAUCUAGAGACGGGCACACAUUGAAGGACAAAGCUUGCACUGGCCAAAUGAAGUAAAAGUCAUUUUAGUAAUGUCAUCAACACCUAAAUGCCAUUGAGGAUUAUUAUCAAGAUGGAUUGAAUUUAUCAUGAUGAGAAUAGAAAAGAAAUAUGAUGAGCAAACUUUGCAUAUCUCUAGGACUGUAUAUCUAAACCACAACACACCUGGCUUUGCUAUUGGGACCCAAGGGCUCACUGAGUAGAAUUUGGUGCAAUAUGGACAUGCAGCACAUUCAGUGUUAUUGAACUUAAUAAAUAAGCAAACACCGCUCUGAGCAGUACCAGAGACUGAGCCGCAGGCAUCCUUGGAGUCUGGAAUGUGGUCUGCAGCAGGACUCCACAGGCUUACUCAAUGCAGUUCACUUCUCCUGGAUCUACUGGCACAUAGAAAACAUUUCUUACAGCAGGGCCAUUGACGAGUGCAAUGGGAGUGGGUCGAAGGGAGGUCUCCACCAUAGAGAUGGACAAAAUAAUCUGUGCCACAAUAGGUAGGUUUUUAAAGUCAGGCACUGACAGGCACAUCUGUGUGAAGACAUACCAUGUUCCAAAAACCUCACGUACAAAGGCAUCCAGAACAAGGAAGUUAUGUCGUGCCUGGUUACACUGAACUUCCAAUAAAUGGACACAAGUUAAAUAUCAACAUGUGCAUAAAGAAAGUCAUUCUUGAGUUGAUAUGUUCAUAUCAAUAUAAUAGUAGAGUGAAAUAUAAUCAAUAAGUACAUUUUCAAUACAACAAUACAAUUGCAUAAAAAAAAGGAAAAUGUCAACUAUAUGGGCAAAGGAAAGACGCCUAGAAUACAUACAAUGUGCUAUAAUAUGGAUAAAUUAUUUUAAAAAGAGAUGACCAGAAUCAAUAAUAAUGUAUGUGUACGAAGUGUGUGUGUGUGUGUGUGUGUGUGUUUUUGAAUGUGUCUCCAACGUUUUCGGGGGAUACUUUAACAAUCGGAUGAAUGAGGUGUUUCCAAAUAUAUAUUUCGAGGGAUGACCCACUGGAGUUAUAUUCUGUCGUUGUGUAUAUGAUGGAUUCGGUUAGAUCCUCCAUUCAAACGUCAACUGAUAUCAUAUUUUUACAAUGGGUUAGACCUAACCCUGUGUGUGCCAUUCCCUUUUAUCCAGUUCACGAGGAUGACUUUUUUGCAUUCUUUGACGUUCAAGGAUAAUCGGCUGUUUGUUUUGUUCUGAUUAAUUGUUGACGUGUCUCAUAGUAAGUUUUACCGAAUGUAGUGAAUCCUUUCGGGUAUCCAAUACUUUAUGAGUUGUAGAUUGGCAUUUUUAACACACAUUUGAGCUAUGAGAGUAACAUGGAUUUUACUCUCCUGCCUUCCAGAGGAUGUAACGUUUUUUCUAGAAUGUCAGCUCUAAGGAAAUUAUAUAUCAUUAUCUCAUAAGUAGAUUGCCAGGAAAUGUUCUGAGCACAUUCAUGCACGAAAGGUGAUGAAAACUUUAGAUUUUAAUUCCACCCUGACCUUUAUUGUGUGCCACCCUCAGCAUAAACUUAAAAUUUUACCUGUACUACCGACAAACGCCUUAAAACUGAUAAUUACAUUUCUUCCUCCUUUUCAAUACAUAGUACGCUAGUGAAAAUUGCGUACCUAUUAGCUCGAGCCCAUACCAAUAAACAAACUGCUCCUUACUUUGUGCAUUUGCUUGGAAUGCUUAAAAGUGGGUAGGUAAUACGCAGCAGCAGAAACCUUUUCGCUCAAUUCUCACUUAAAGGUGCAGAUUUAUGAAAGAUAGAUGACAUGUUUACGAAUACAAGUCAUAUUUGUUUUGUUUUUUUGGCACAAUUCUAAAUCACAUUUGGGUAAACAGUGGCAUCACCAAAACUAAUAAUUUUUCACAAUCGUUGAAAUUAAAUUUUUAACUAAAGAACCAAAAAUGACAC
Molecule: long non-coding RNA, 2893 nt
Organism: Gasterosteus aculeatus aculeatus (three-spined stickleback)
Lineage: Eukaryota; Metazoa; Chordata; Actinopteri; Perciformes; Gasterosteidae
Source: Ensembl